AUCUAAAUAGUUUAUUUAAAAUAUAAAUUUGUGGAAUUUAAGAAAUGUUUUAUUUUAGGUA
RNAcentral lists this transfer RNA (61 nucleotides) under Graphocaecilius interpretatus. Its description in RNAcentral is "tRNA-His". Lineage: Eukaryota; Metazoa; Arthropoda; Insecta; Psocodea; Sphaeropsocidae. The record is from RNAcentral. RNAcentral also lists the same sequence under 1 other name.